GGUUAAGCGACUAAGCGUACACGGUGGAUGCCCUGGCAGUCAGAGGCGAUGAAGGGCGUGCUAAUCUGCGAUAAGCGCCGGUAAGGUGAUAUGAACCGUUAUAACCGGCGAUACCCGAAUGGGGAAACCCAGUGUGACUCGUCACACUAUCAUUAACUGAAUCCAUAGGUUAAUGAGGCGAACCGGGGGAACUGAAACAUCUAAGUACCCCGAGGAAAAGAAAUCAACCGAGAUUCCCCCAGUAGCGGCGAGCGAACGGGGAGGAGCCCAGAGCCUGAAUCAGCAUGUGUGUUAGUGGAAGCGUCUGGAAAGGCGCGCGAUACAGGGUGACAGCCCCGUACACAAAAGCGCAUGUGCUGUGAGCUCGAUGAGUAGGGCGGGACACGUGGUAUCCUGUCUGAAUAUGGGGGGACCAUCCUCCAAGGCUAAAUACUCCUGACUGACCGAUAGUGAACCAGUACCGUGAGGGAAAGGCGAAAAGAACCCCGGCGAGGGGAGUGAAAAAGAACCUGAAACCGUGUACGUACAAGCAGUGGGAGCCCCACCACCAAAGCAUUCUCUGGUGUUGAAGGCCCUGCAAAGCAGCAUCGCGGUGGCGGAGCGUCGUUUGCGACGCCCAACACACAAAACAAGCGGUGAAUGCUUUGGGGUGGGGUGACUGCGUACCUUUUGUAUAAUGGGUCAGCGACUUAUAUUCUGUAGCAAGGUUAACCGAAUAGGGGAGCCGGAGGGAAACCGAGUCUUAAUUGGGCGUUAAGUUGCAGGGUAUAGACCCGAAACCCGGUGAUCUAGCCAUGGGCAGGUUGAAGGUUGGGUAACACUAACUGGAGGACCGAACCGACUAAUGUUGAAAAAUUAGCGGAUGACCUGUGGCUGGGGGUGAAAGGCCAAUCAAACCGGGAGAUAGCUGGUUCUCCCCGAAAGCUAUUUAGGUAGCGCCUCGUGAAUUCAUCUCCGGGGGUAGAGCACUGUUUCGGCUAGGGGGCCAUCCCGGCUUACCAACCCGAUGCAAACUGCGAAUACCGGAGAAUGUUAUCACGGGAGACACACGGCGGGUGCUAACGUCCGUCGUGAAGAGGGAAACAACCCAGACCGCCAGCUAAGGUCCCAAAGUCAUGGUUAAGUGGGAAACGAUGUGGGAAGGCCCAGACAGCCAGGAUGUUGGCUUAGAAGCAGCCAUCAUUUAAAGAAAGCGUAAUAGCUCACUGGUCGAGUCGGCCUGCGCGGAAGAUGUAACGGGGCUAAACCAUGCACCGAAGCUGCGGCAGCGACGCUGAUGCGUUGUUGGGUAGGGGAGCGUUCUGUAAGCCUGUGAAGGUGUGUCGUGAGGCAUGCUGGAGGUAUCAGAAGUGCGAAUGCUGACAUAAGUAACGAUAAAGCGGGUGAAAAGCCCGCUCGCCGGAAGACCAAGGGUUCCUGUCCAACGUUAAUCGGGGCAGGGUGAGUCGACCCCUAAGGCGAGGCCGAAAGGCGUAGUCGAUGGGAAACGGGUUAAUAUUCCCGUACUUGGUGUUACUGCGAAGGGGGGACGGAGAAGGCUAUGUUGGCCGGGCGACGGUUGUCCCGGUUUAAGCGUGUAGGUGUGUGUUCCAGGUAAAUCCGGUUCACUUUAACACUGAGGCGUGACGACGAGGCACUACGGUGCUGAAGCAACAAAUGCCCUGCUUCCAGGAAAAGCCUCUAAGCAUCAGGUAACAUCAAAUCGUACCCCAAACCGACACAGGUGGUCAGGUAGAGAAUACCAAGGCGCUUGAGAGAACUCGGGUGAAGGAACUAGGCAAAAUGGUGCCGUAACUUCGGGAGAAGGCACGCUGACACGUAGGUGAAGUGAUUUACUCAUGGAGCUGAAGUCAGUCGAAGAUACCAGCUGGCUGCAACUGUUUAUUAAAAACACAGCACUGUGCAAACACGAAAGUGGACGUAUACGGUGUGACGCCUGCCCGGUGCCGGAAGGUUAAUUGAUGGGGUCAGCGUAAGCGAAGCUCCUGAUCGAAGCCCCGGUAAACGGCGGCCGUAACUAUAACGGUCCUAAGGUAGCGAAAUUCCUUGUCGGGUAAGUUCCGACCUGCACGAAUGGCGUAAUGAUGGCCAGGCUGUCUCCACCCGAGACUCAGUGAAAUUGAACUCGCUGUGAAGAUGCAGUGUACCCGCGGCAAGACGGAAAGACCCCGUGAACCUUUACUAUAGCUUGACACUGAACAUUGAGCCUUGAUGUGUAGGAUAGGUGGGAGGCUUUGAAGUGUGGACGCCAGUCUGCAUGGAGCCGACCUUGAAAUACCACCCUUUAAUGUUUGAUGUUCUAACGUGGACCCGUAAUCCGGGUUGCGGACAGUGUCUGGUGGGUAGUUUGACUGGGGCGGUCUCCUCCUAAAGAGUAACGGAGGAGCACGAAGGUUGGCUAAUCCUGGUCGGACAUCAGGAGGUUAGUGCAAUGGCAUAAGCCAGCUUGACUGCGAGCGUGACGGCGCGAGCAGGUGCGAAAGCAGGUCAUAGUGAUCCGGUGGUUCUGAAUGGAAGGGCCAUCGCUCAACGGAUAAAAGGUACUCCGGGGAUAACAGGCUGAUACCGCCCAAGAGUUCAUAUCGACGGCGGUGUUUGGCACCUCGAUGUCGGCUCAUCACAUCCUGGGGCUGAAGUAGGUCCCAAGGGUAUGGCUGUUCGCCAUUUAAAGUGGUACGCGAGCUGGGUUUAGAACGUCGUGAGACAGUUCGGUCCCUAUCUGCCGUGGGCGCUGGAGAACUGAGGGGGGCUGCUCCUAGUACGAGAGGACCGGAGUGGACGCAUCACUGGUGUUCGGGUUGUCAUGCCAAUGGCACUGCCCGGUAGCUAAAUGCGGAAGAGAUAAGUGCUGAAAGCAUCUAAGCACGAAACUUGCCCCGAGAUGAGUUCUCCCUGAGACUUUAGGUCUCCUGAAGGAACGUUGAAGACGACGACGUUGAUAGGCCGGGUGUGUAAGCGCAGCGAUGCGUUGAGCUAACCGGUACUAAUGAACCGUGAGGCUUAACCUU
Molecule: ribosomal RNA, 3008 nt
Filed under: Salmonella enterica subsp. enterica serovar Typhimurium
Lineage: Bacteria; Pseudomonadati; Pseudomonadota; Gammaproteobacteria; Enterobacterales; Enterobacteriaceae
Description: 23S ribosomal RNA
Rfam family: Bacterial large subunit ribosomal RNA
Source: RNAcentral